This 356-nucleotide ribosomal RNA is filed under the name uncultured delta proteobacterium. RNAcentral's name for it is "bacterial SSU rRNA". It matches the Rfam family "Bacterial small subunit ribosomal RNA", at positions 9 to 359 of the family's 1533-position model. The record is from RNAcentral. Lineage: Bacteria; Deltaproteobacteria.
GAGUUUGAUCAUGGCUCAGAACGAACGCUGGCGGCGUGCCUAACACAUGCAAGUCGAACGUGAAAGUCCUUCGGGAUGAGUAAAGUAGGCGCACGGGUGAGUAACACGUAGGUAACCUGCCUCAAAGACUGGGAUAACUUUCCGUAAAGGAAGUAGCUAAUACCAGAUAAGACCACGAUUUUAAUUUAUUGGGUCAAAGGCGCUUUCGGUGUCGCUUUGAGAUGGGCCUGCGGUACAUUAGCUAGAUGGUGGGGUAACGGCCUACCAUGGCAACGAUGUAUAGCUGGUCUGAGAGGACGAUCAGCCACACUGGAACUGAGACACGGUCCAGACUCCUACGGGAGGCAGCAGUGGGG